Molecule: long non-coding RNA, 254 nt
Filed under: Hordeum vulgare
Lineage: Eukaryota; Viridiplantae; Streptophyta; Magnoliopsida; Poales; Poaceae
Description: long non-coding RNA (HVUL_LNC016266)
Source: RNAcentral
GUCCGGGUGCUCUGAUCGAGUUGUUCUGCUGACAUUAGUGUGGUUAACUCAGGGAAAAACGUCCUGUUACUCUUUCAGGCACACGGCAGUGUACAUUGCUAGGUGCCUGUUAUGGGUCUAGCCGUGGCCUUUUAGGUCUUUACAUCAUAGUCCCUUUCCUUUGUUGGUGGUGUCGUCAGCUAUUUCUCACAGGACAUUUUAACCCUGUUACUUAGUGGUUGUGAGUGUGAGCUGUUGGUGCACACAAGUUAUGC